RNAcentral lists this ribosomal RNA (220 nucleotides) under uncultured bacterium. Its description in RNAcentral is "partial 16S ribosomal RNA". It matches the Rfam family "Bacterial small subunit ribosomal RNA", at positions 524 to 744 of the family's 1533-position model. The record is from RNAcentral.
UACGGAGGGUGCAAGCGUUAUCCGGAUUCACUGGGUUUAAAGGGUGCGUAGGUGGGCAGGUAAGUCAGUGGUGAAAUCUCCGGGCUUAACCCGGAACUGCCGUUGAUACUAUCUGUCUUGAAUAUCGUGGAGGUGGGCGGAAUAUGUCAUGUAGCGGUGAAAUGCUUAGAUAUGACAUAGAACACCAAUUGCGAAGGCAGCCCGCCACACGGUUAUUGAC